This is an RNA transcript of Dioscorea cayenensis subsp. rotundata (Guinea yam), 1660 nucleotides long. It is a transcript of the gene named bifunctional adenosine 5'-phosphosulfate phosphorylase/adenylylsulfatase HINT4-like, with no coding region annotated. Lineage: Eukaryota; Viridiplantae; Streptophyta; Magnoliopsida; Dioscoreales; Dioscoreaceae. The record is from RefSeq and is a predicted model, not a curated record. The transcript has 4 exons.
AGCACGAGGUACCAUUGUCCGUCGAUGGCGGGCAUUGCGGGAUUGUGUUUGUUCUGCUAGAUCGCGAUGUCUGCGACUUCCACCCGGCUUUUCUAUGAUGACGAGAGGGUCGUUCCCUUCCCCGACAUCAACCCCUCCGCCUUCAGGUAUCAUCUUUGUUCUCUUAUUUAGUUUCUGAUCUUCUUAUGGCUUCUUUCUAGAUUAUGUUUAGUCUGAUAUAAUUUUGGGGGAUUCUAUUUUAUAAAAUUUAUCAGUUGAUUCUCUUCAAGUACAUUACUCAAAUCUGGUUUUCCAGAUAAUGAUAAUGAAGGAAUCUAACCAGGAUUUCUGAUAAACUAAGUUCCAUGGCUGUUUGAGCUAGGUGUACAAUAUCCUAACUUUUCAGCAUUUGUAGCUAGAAUUAUUCACUGGCAUUUUCAAUACCCAACUUGAUUUCUAGACUUCAAACACUGGGCAAGGAGUAGCAUCACUAGAACUGGAGCACUUCAUUGUAGAGUAUUCGCUUAUUCUUACUACUGUAAUUACUUUAUGUUUAUCACAUUCUAUUAAUGCUAAAAGUGUUUUAUUAUGCUUAUUGCCGAAAUUUUGUCAACUUGUAAGCUUAAAGUCAUACUGAAUGGGUUAUUGAUUUCUUUAAUACUGCACAGGCAUUAUUUAGUUAUUCCUGUUGAACACGUAGCAACUGUGAAUGAUCUCAAGAGGGGCGUUGAUGACCAUCAGUUAGGUAUCCUGGUUUUUAUUUAUAAUGUGAGAAAUUACUAGUAUAGAGUAUAUGCAAGUUAGACAGCUGCAUGUUAUCAGUACUUGAGAAUUCUUCUGUACUUACUUAACCUGGCAUGGUUUUUCCUCUUCUUUUUCAAUUAGUCACAUGUUAUAAUGAGCAUGAGUCAUGCUGAUUGAAACAUAUCAUGUAAACAAAAUUGUUAGAUUAUAAAAUGUUAUUUGUUCAUAAAAAUUAAAAGCAUGAAUGUUAAUCAAUUAAGUUGACCAUAUGGAUAUGAAUAAAAAGAAAGAUAAGGUGGCAAGUUAGCUUUGAUGUCCUUCAUUUAAUUUAUGUCCUCCACAAGUAAUCAUCUUGAAUGACGAACAUAGACAUGGCUCUUGAGCUAGUGACAUUGACUUUAUGUCCUUCAUUUAAUUUUUAAGAAUAUAUACUUAAUUAAAAAAAUUAUAUUCAUCGCAUUUUUAUAUUUUAUUUUUCAAAGAUUUGAAACAGUUACAAGUACAAGUCUGGUCCUUCAUGUUCUCAAAUCAUAUAUCGUAAUGAAGUACAAGAUUUGAAGGCUGAGGUUCAAGGAUUGAAGGAAGCUUUAACUACUAUGAUUUCAUUAUUUCAAAAACAAUUUCCUAAUGAGAACAUGGAGGUCCUAAAUGCUGGGACUUGCAUAGUCAAUGGAGAGGUACCUGAUGCUUCUAGUGCUCAACAAACGCCGCAUGGGAAUAAUCAUUCUCAUGAAUCAAGUCAUCAAGUGAUGCCGUUUAGAAGAUGACAUCGGUUCUACUUGGGAAAAUUCUUGUUGCUUUAUUGGGUUGUUAGACAUUAAAUGAAAGUAGUUUAUUUUUGUGUUAGAUUUGAAAUUGAGGGAAGAACUCUUGGUUGUCAAGAUUGAAUGGUGGUUUAUUUUUGGACAUAUACCUUAUAAAUAUAUGUUUGUGGUGA